Drosophila erecta is the source of this 313-nucleotide long non-coding RNA. RefSeq lists it as uncharacterized. NCBI's taxonomy places the organism in Eukaryota, Metazoa, Arthropoda, Insecta, Diptera, Drosophilidae. The record is from RefSeq and is a predicted model, not a curated record. The transcript is spliced from 2 exons.
AUACCAGACCAUCGAGUGGCAACGCCGCACGAACAGAACGUAUCGGAAGUUGGGCAACAUGCCAUUCGAUUUCGAGACUUUAAGCGAAACGGUUGUGUUUUUGCGCGUGUGUGCGGGUGGCGGACGCGCGUGCCAAUCGGAAAAGGCCUUUAAAUCAAAUGAGUGUCUCGCCAAAGGAGCGCAUCAAGAGCAGGCAAAAAAUCAACAAAAUACGAAACACAAAGCCAAAUCAAAAGAAAUCAAAUUUCAAAUUCGUGCGGCCACCAGCAAUAUCGAAAUAAAGAAAUUAUCUAAAUAAUCAUUAUCAUCAUCA